RNAcentral lists this ribosomal RNA (127 nucleotides) under Pteropus vampyrus (large flying fox). Lineage: Eukaryota; Metazoa; Chordata; Mammalia; Chiroptera; Pteropodidae. The record is from RNAcentral.
CACAUGUGGCAUUCCACUAUUCUUCCUAAUCAUAUUAAUUUAAAAAAUGCACCCUAAGCUAAGCAGGGUUGGGCCUGGUUAGUACUUGGAUGAGAGACUACCUAGGAAGACCAGGUGCUAUAGGUGU